GACGAACCGUCCGAACGUUAUUCGGAAUCACUGGGCUUAAAGGGUGCGUAGGCGGCGCGGAAAGUUGGGUGUGAAAUCCCUCGGCUUAACCGAGGAACGGCGCCCAAAACUACCGUGCUCGAGGGAGAUAGAGGUGAGCGGAACUUAGGGUGGAGCGGUGAAAUGCGUUGAUAUCCUAAGGAACACCGGUGGCGAAAGCGGCUCACUGGAUCUCUUCUGACGCUGAUGCACGAGAGCUAGGGUAGCGAACGGG
Molecule: ribosomal RNA, 253 nt
Filed under: uncultured bacterium
Lineage: Bacteria
Description: partial 16S ribosomal RNA
Rfam family: Bacterial small subunit ribosomal RNA
Source: RNAcentral